CUUAGGGUACCUUCCAACACAAUGAUGAGGAUUCGGUUUGUAAUUACAUGGCUGUUAAAGAGAGUGAUUCACAUGGAUGAAAGUUUGAUUCACUCUUUGUUAUGCUUAGUUGUGGUUAUAACUUAUGAAUUCACAUGCAAUCAUAAAAGAAAAAAAUCAGUUUUUGUAACAUGCUUGAAGGACAAUGUGUAGAGGAAACACCCCUCCAUGUCGUGGGGUUCAAUAACCUUCAAAGGAGCAUUGUCCGGCUGCAAGACGUAAAAGAAAGCGCUACUUGGGAGGCAACCCAUGCAAUUCAACAGAGGAAGACCAAGGAAUCACCCCAAUUCCAGAUUUGCGUUCCUAAACUCUUCCCUUUGUUAUUUAUUUUGAAUCUGCCUAUUUAGUUGUUUUAGUUGCUGUUUGUGUGUUUCUUUUUGUUUAGUGUGAUUUCAUGCUUGAAACAUUGAGGACAAUGUUUGAUUUAAGUGUGGGGGGGGGUAACUAAGUGUUUUAGAUGCAAAUUCGUGGGAUUUUAUCACCCUAAACUUGAAGACUUAUUCCUUGCUGUUUUUAAGUGUUUUUGAGCAGUUUUGAUGUGUUUUAGUGUGUUUUGAAGUAAAAAUCCGAAAAUUACAUAAAAAUUUGAAAAAUUUGUUUUAAAAACCCAAAAAGAGUUGUUUUUGUGUGUUUGUUUGUGUCUUAGGGUACCUUCCAACACAAUGAUGAGGAUUCGGUUUGUAAUUACAUGGCUGUUAAAGAGAGUGAUUCACAUGGAUGAAAGUUUGAUUCACUCUUUGUUAUGCUUAGUUGUGGUUAUAACUUAUGAAUUCACAUGCAAAUCAUAAAAGAAAAAAUCAGUUUUUGUAACAUGCUUGAAGGACAAUGUGUAGAGGAAACACCCCUCCAUGUCGUGGGGUUCAAUAACCUUCAAAGGAGCAUUGUCCGGCUGCAAGACGUAAAAGAAAGCGCUACUUGGGAGGCAACCCAUGCAAUUCAACAGAGGAAGACCAAGGAAUCACCCCAAUUCCAGAUUUGCGUUUCUAAACUCUUCCCUUUGUUAUUUAU
This 1047-nucleotide long non-coding RNA is filed under the name Malus domestica (apple). RNAcentral describes it as "long non-coding RNA (MDOM_LNC019566)". The record is from RNAcentral. Lineage: Eukaryota; Viridiplantae; Streptophyta; Magnoliopsida; Rosales; Rosaceae.